GUCCAGACUCCUACGGGAGGCAGCAGUGGGGAAUAUUGCACAAUGGGGGAAACCCUGAUGCAGCAACGCCGCGUGGGUGAAGGAGCGUUUCGGCGCGUAAAGCCCUGUCAGCGGGGAAGAAGAAAGACGGUACCCGACCAAGAAGCCCCGGCUAACUACGUGCCAGCAGCCGCGGUAAUACGUAGGGGGCAAGCGUUAUCCGGAUUUACUGGGUGUAAAGGGAGCGUAGACGGCAGAGCAAGUCUGAAGUGAAAGCCCGCGGCCCAACUGCGGGACUGCUCUUGGAACUGUGCGGCUGGAGUGCGGGAGGGGCAGGCGGAAUUCCUGGUGUAGCGGUGAAAUGCGUAGAUAUCAGGAGGAACACCGGCGGCGAAGGCGGCCUGCUGGACCGCGACUGACGUUGAGGCUCGAAAGCGUGGGGAGCAAACAGGAUUAGAUACCCGAGUAC
Molecule: ribosomal RNA, 448 nt
Filed under: uncultured bacterium
Lineage: Bacteria
Description: bacterial SSU rRNA
Rfam family: Bacterial small subunit ribosomal RNA
Source: RNAcentral